This 886-nucleotide ribosomal RNA is filed under the name Escherichia coli. RNAcentral describes it as "partial 23S ribosomal RNA". It matches the Rfam family "Bacterial large subunit ribosomal RNA", at positions 2045 to 2925 of the family's 2925-position model. The record is from RNAcentral. Lineage: Bacteria; Pseudomonadati; Pseudomonadota; Gammaproteobacteria; Enterobacterales; Enterobacteriaceae.
AACUCGCUGUGAAGAUGCAGUGUACCCGCGGCAAGACGGAAAGACCCCGUGAACCUUUACUAUAGCUUGACACUGAACAUUGAGCCUUGAUGUGUAGGAUAGGUGGGAGGCUUUGAAGUGUGGACGCCAGUCUGCAUGGAGCCGACCUUGAAAUACCACCCUUUAAUGUUUGAUGUUCUAACGUUGACCCGUGAUCCGGGUUGCGGACAGUGUCUGGUGGGUAGUUUGACUGGGGCGGUCUCCUCCUAAAGAGUAACGGAGGAGCACGAAGGUUGGCUAAUCCUGGUCGGACAUCAGGAGGUUAGUGCAAUGGCAUAAGCCAGCUUGACUGCGAGCGUGACGGCGCGAGCAGGUGCGAAAGCAGGUCAUAGUGAUCCGGUGGUUCUGAAUGGAAGGGCCAUCGCUCAACGGAUAAAAGGUACUCCGGGGAUAACAGGCUGAUACCGCCCAAGAGUUCAUAUCGACGGCGGUGUUUGGCACCUCGAUGUCGGCUCAUCACAUCCUGGGGCUGAAGUAGGUCCCAAGGGUAUGGCUGUUCGCCAUUUAAAGUGGUACGCGAGCUGGGUUUAGAACGUCGUGAGACAGUUCGGUCCCUAUCUGCCGUGGGCGCUGGAGAACUGAGGGGGGCUGCUCCUAGUACGAGAGGACCGGAGUGGACGCAUCACUGGUGUUCGGGUUGUCAUGCCAAUGGCACUGCCCGGUAGCUAAAUGCGGAAGAGAUAAGUGCUGAAAGCAUCUAAGCACGAAACUUGCCCCGAGAUGAGUUCUCCCUGACUCCUUGAGAGUCCUGAAGGAACGUUGAAGACGACGACGUUGAUAGGCCGGGUGUGUAAGCGCAGCGAUGCGUUGAGCUAACCGGUACUAAUGAACCGUGAGGCUUAACCUU